CCUACGGGCGGCAGCAGUGGGGAAUAUUGCACAAUGGGGGAAACCCUGAUGCAGCGACGCCGCGUGAGUGAAGAAGUAUUUCGGUACGUAAAGCUCUAUCAGCAGGGAAGAAAAUGACGGUACCUGACUAAGAAGCCCCGGCUAACUACGUGCCAGCAGCCGCGGUAAUACGUAGGGGGCAAGCGUUAUCCGGAUUUACUGGGUGUAAAGGGAGCGUAGACGGCAGCGCAAGUCUGGAGUGAAAUCCCAUGGCUGAACCAUGGAACUGCUUUGGAAACUGUGCAUCUAGAGUGCAGGAGAGGUAAGCGGAAUUCCUAGUGUAGCGGUGAAAUGCGUAGAUAUUAGGAGGAACACCAGUGGCGAAGGCGGCUUACUGGACUGUAACUGACGUUGAGGCUCGAAAGCGUGGGGAGCAAACAGGAUUAGAUACCCUAGUAGUC
This 440-nucleotide ribosomal RNA is filed under the name uncultured bacterium. Its description in RNAcentral is "partial 16S ribosomal RNA". It matches the Rfam family "Bacterial small subunit ribosomal RNA", at positions 338 to 795 of the family's 1533-position model. The record is from RNAcentral.